ACAACUUCAUGUCUCCAAUGACAACUACAAAAUCUACACCUUGAACGUCAACGAUGUAUAAUGUUUCCAGACAGAAUUAUGGAAGAAGCAGGAAACGAGAUGUACAUAUAGCAUAAUUCUGCAUGAUUUUUCCUAAUACCAUUGUUCAGAUGGAAGCAUGAUUUUUCCUUCUACCAUUGUUCAGAUGUAACAAGAAUAUGCAUGCAUUUGUUUAUGAUUUCAUAAACAAGACUGCUAAAAUGCUCUAGAAGAAACAAGAGGAGAAGAACAGCAGCGGUUUUAUCUUCGAAACCGAAACAUGAUGCCACACUUUCAGAAGGACAGAGCAACACAGCUCCUCCUUGAGCAUGAUGAAAUUAUGAAAAAUCAUGGAGCACAAUC
This 381-nucleotide long non-coding RNA is filed under the name Oryza sativa (Asian cultivated rice). RNAcentral's name for it is "long non-coding RNA (OSAT_LNC000191)". Lineage: Eukaryota; Viridiplantae; Streptophyta; Magnoliopsida; Poales; Poaceae. The record is from RNAcentral.